This 219-nucleotide ribosomal RNA is filed under the name uncultured bacterium. RNAcentral describes it as "partial 16S ribosomal RNA". It matches the Rfam family "Bacterial small subunit ribosomal RNA", at positions 15 to 225 of the family's 1533-position model. The record is from RNAcentral.
GAUCAUGGCUCAGGAUGAACGCUAGCUACAGGCUUAACACAUGCAAGUCGAGGGGCAGCAUGGUCUUAGCUUGCUAAUGCCGAUGGCGAUUGGCGCACGGGUGAGUAACACGUAUCCAACCUGCCGUCUACUCUUGGACAGCCUUCUGAAAGGAAGAUUAAUACAAGAUGGCAUCAUGAGUCCGCAUGUUCACAUGAUUAAAGGUAUUCCGGUAGACGA